UAAUACGGAGGGGGCUAGCGUUGUUCGGAAUUACUGGGCGUAAAGCGCACGUAGGCGGUCUAUCUAGUUAGAGGUGAAAGGCCCGGGCUCAACCUGGGAACUGCCUUUAAUACUGGUAGGCUAGAGUCCGGGAGAGGGUAGCGGAAUUCCAAGUGUAGAGGUGAAAUUCGUAGAUAUUUGGAAGAACACCAGUGGCGAAGGCGGCUACCUGGACCGGCACUGACGCUGAGGUGCGAAAGCGUGGGGAGCGAACAGGAUUAGAUACCCUGGUAGUCCACGCCGUAAACGAUGAGUGCUAGAUGUCGGGGUUUCAGAUUUCGGUGUCGCAGCUAACGCGUUAAGCACUCCGCCUGGGGAGUACGGUCGCAAGAUUA
RNAcentral lists this ribosomal RNA (374 nucleotides) under uncultured Alphaproteobacteria bacterium. Its description in RNAcentral is "bacterial SSU rRNA". It matches the Rfam family "Bacterial small subunit ribosomal RNA", at positions 521 to 896 of the family's 1533-position model. Lineage: Bacteria; Pseudomonadati; Pseudomonadota; Alphaproteobacteria. The record is from RNAcentral.